RNAcentral lists this ribosomal RNA (253 nucleotides) under uncultured bacterium. Its description in RNAcentral is "partial 16S ribosomal RNA". It matches the Rfam family "Bacterial small subunit ribosomal RNA", at positions 524 to 776 of the family's 1533-position model. The record is from RNAcentral.
UACAGAGGUCUCAAGCGUUGUUCGGAUUCAUUGGGCGUAAAGGGUGUGUAGGUGGCGCCGUAAGUCGGGUGUGAAAUCUCGGGGCUUAACUCCGAAACUGCAUUCGAUACUGCGGUGCUUGAGGACUGGAGAGGAGACUGGAAUUCAUGGUGUAGCAGUGAAAUGCGUAGAGAUCAUGAGGAAGACCAGUGGCGAAGGCGGGUCUCUGGACAGUUCCUGACGCUGAGGCGCGAAGGCCAGGGGAGCAAACGGG